GCCCGCGUAGCUCAGGGGAUAGAGCAACUGCCUCCUAAGCAGUAGGUCGCAGGUUCGAUUCCUGCCGCGGGCG
This 73-nucleotide transfer RNA is filed under the name Acidimicrobiia bacterium. RNAcentral's name for it is "tRNA-Arg". It matches the Rfam family "tRNA". Rfam says of the family: Transfer RNA (tRNA) molecules are approximately 80 nucleotides in length. The record is from RNAcentral. Lineage: Bacteria; Bacillati; Actinomycetota; Acidimicrobiia. RNAcentral also lists the same sequence under 2 other names.